Molecule: ribosomal RNA, 123 nt
Filed under: Ailuropoda melanoleuca (giant panda)
Lineage: Eukaryota; Metazoa; Chordata; Mammalia; Carnivora; Ursidae
Source: RNAcentral
GUCUACAGCCAUACCACCCUGAACACACCCGAUCUCGUCUGAUCUCAGAAGCUAAGCAGGGUUGGGCCUGCUUAGCACUUGAAUGGGAGAAUGUCUUCAAUGAAGUGGCAAGAAUUAUUAAUU